RNAcentral lists this ribosomal RNA (303 nucleotides) under uncultured bacterium. RNAcentral's name for it is "partial 16S ribosomal RNA". It matches the Rfam family "Bacterial small subunit ribosomal RNA", at positions 507 to 807 of the family's 1533-position model. The record is from RNAcentral.
AGCAGUAGCCACGGGAAAACGGAGGGGGCUAGCGUUGUUCGGAAUUACUGGGCGUAAAGCGCACGUAGGCGGCUUGGCAAGUUAGAGGUGAAAGCCUGGAGCUCAACUCCAGAAUUGCCUUUAAGACUGCCGAGCUAGCAGGUGAGAGAGGUAAGUGGAAUUCCGAGUGUAGAGGUGAAAUUCGUAGAUAUUCGGAAGAGCACCAGUGGCGAAGGCGGCUUACUGGCUCAUACUGGACGCUGAGGUGCGAAAGCGUGGGGAGCAAACAGGAUUAGAUACCCCUGUAGUCCCUGUCUCUUAUAC